This 254-nucleotide ribosomal RNA is filed under the name uncultured bacterium. Its description in RNAcentral is "partial 16S ribosomal RNA". It matches the Rfam family "Bacterial small subunit ribosomal RNA", at positions 524 to 776 of the family's 1533-position model. The record is from RNAcentral.
UACGGGGGGAGCAAGCGUUGUUCGGAUUUACUGGGCGUAAAGGGCGCGUAGGCGGCCAGCACAAGUCAGUUGUGAAAUCUCCGAGCUUAACCCGGAACGGUCAACUGAUACUGUGCGGCUAGAGUGCAGAAGGGGCAACUGGAAUUCUUGGUGUAGCGGUGAAAUGCGUAGAUAUCAAGAGGAACACCUGCGGCGAAGGCGGGUUGCUGGGCUGACACUGACGCUGAGGCGCGAAAGCUAGGGGAGCGAACGGG